UGAAAAAGCGCAAUAUUCCCAACAGCUUCUAUGCAAAACCUGGAAAAACGUUGUGCAACCAAUGAACGAUUAGUUCAUGAGUAGUUAUCGAUAAAUAACCUACUGUUUAUUAGAUUUACUGUAGUAACACUAACUGCAAAUCUGGUAUUUGCAGAAAUGUGGUAUAUUAAUAAUGCAUGUUCUAUAUAGUAAUGCAUGUAAAUGUAUUACAGGGGUAUCUGAAGCAUCUUUGUACUAUUAUUUCUUAUGAAGCUAACGUUAUGUUAGUUCUUGCAUUUGUGUUGUACUAAAUGUGUUUAUACUUGUGUUUUAGACAAAUGGAAUAAUUUGUGAAGCAAAGACUACAACAACCUGCUAUUUAAUGGAAACAUUUGAAGAACAAGAAGUGGAUGAAAGUUUUAUGCUGCUGGAUGACCGUGGUUCUCAACUGGUCCUAGAUUAUCCCCAGCAAUACACAUUUUUGAUGUCUUCCUUAUCUGACACCCUUUUACGGCCUUGGAGGAAUCAGGAUUAGAGAGACAAAAUGUCCAGUGCUAGGGCUACUACAGAACCAGGUUGUUUGGGAAACACUGGGGUACAGUUUAUUACUCUUGUUUUGUUUUUUUCUCAGUUGUCUUCCUUCAUUUUAAUACAUUAUGUUUUAAUUUAAACAGAAUCCAAGUUGUUUAAUGACCGACAACGAUUUUGUAUCAAAAGAAUGCAAGUCCUCACAGCCAAGCUAAUGUGUUCAUUAGACGUACUUCAGACUUCAGACAGUUUGCUGAGGUGUUCCUCAGCAAACUGCAUGGAUUUGAUCCUUUGGAACAAAAACUAUUGAAGAAAUGGAAUGCUGAGUUUAAUGAUGUUCAGAAUCGUGAAGGGUUGUUUUAUUUUGGGAAAAAAUGUAUUGACCAUGUCAUGCUUGUGAAAUUUGUCCACACACAUGUGGUAUAAAUAAAAUUUUUUUAAACUUGUCUUUCAAAGAUGGUCAUGGAGAAACUGCCUUCAAAACCCUUCGCCAUGUCUCACAGUUGGGAAAAUGGUGCUGAAAUGAAGCACAGCUUAACUGACAAUCACCCUGUUGGCACUAAUACAAUGCAUUACCUGAGCAGUGAGACAAGCCAGGAUCCACGUGACUUGAUGCCUUGAGGACAAAGAGAACUCCCAAGUUUUUUAUGUAUAUACAUAUUUUUUUUUGGAUCCACUUCAAAUGUUGACUAUUAAGAGGGGUUCCUUCAACACUGCUGUCUCCUUAAGAACUUUGAUCAUCAUCAUUAGGUCCAACAUAUUUGUGGUUUUAUUACUUAAGGUAUGUUUACAACACAUCAAUGCAUACAAUGUACAGUGUUGACCCACAAAAUAGAACCGGAGUCCUAUUCCAUUAUUCCUACCUGUGGCCGACCUCACUGUGGACCUCAAGCGCCUGCUGUACGCGUGAUAUGUUUAUUUAUUGAAGGAUUUAAUGUUAUGAAUUUAUGUGUACUCGUAGUUUUUCAUUUAGUGUUCAUUUUGUAUUUGUGUGUUCUGUAUAUGUGCAUAUUUUAUGUAUGUUUUGAGUUUACAUGGUUGCAAAGGUUUUAAAUAUAGGUUUUAAUUGUGUACUGUUUGCAAAUUUAUAGGUUUUGAAUUUAAUAUUUACUGUACACUUUUGUGUAUGCUUUAGUAUAAUUAGGCCUACUACUAAAUUAGUAGUGAUUACCAUAAGAUUAGUUAAAAAAUAGUGUAACAAUAUUUAAAUAGUGUUCAUUUUGAAUUUUUGUGUUUUGUAUACAUAUUUUAUUUAUGUUUUGAGUUUACUCUGUACAUGUUUGUGUAGGUUUUGAAUUGAUUUACACUUGUGUUUUGAUAAUACUACACUUAUAUUUACAUUAAAUGGCUCCACAAUAUUUCAUUUGUAAUUUAAAAUAUAUUUGUUAAAACAUAUUAUUUUAUACAAAUAAACAAUCUAGAAAACAAAGUGUAUUCUAUAUAUUAAAAUAAUGUCAUGAAUAAAAGUUAAUAGUCAUAGUUAGUAAAUAACCCAACAAGUAACCCAACUAUGGGUUAACAUAGCACCUUCCCAACUGUGGGUUAUUUUUAACCCAACUGUUGGGUUAUUGUUUUAACCCAACUGGCUUUUAACCCAACCAUUGGGUUAAAAAUAACCCACAGUUGGGAAGGUGCUAUGUUAACCCAUAGUUGGGUUACUUGUUGGGUUAUUUUUAACCCAACAUUUUUUAGUGAGUGUGUAUGUGAAGUUUUAGCUCAAAAUACCCCACAGAUCAUUUUUAUAGCAUGUUAAAUUUGACACUUUUUGAGGUAAAAACGCUGCAUUUUUGUGUGUGUACCUUUAAAUGCAAAUGAGCUGCUGGUCUCAAAAGGGGGCAGAGUUUCAGGAGCUAAUGUUAGCACUUAGCAGUGCCUCACAUUACCUCACACAGAAACUGAAACUGUCAGAAAUUUUGAAAAAAUGUCAGGUUUAUGUAAAUUCUAGGAUAGGUGAUGUCACCAAUCUGUGAAGAAGCUCGUUGUAGUCCCUACCAGCCGUUUGUUGUAGUUCUUAAACAGAUAAUUCUUUAAAAGAAAAUAUCUCUGUUUGCAUUGAACUUUCAGCGCUGAAACUUUGCAGAUACUGUUUAUGCUCAAGCAGCAACAUUACACACUAACUAAAGUUAAAAAAGCGAAAUGGCAAUGAACCACCCCUUUAAUACCAAGUGUAAAACAGUGCCUCAGAGACAAAUAAAUGGGAGAAAUGUAAGCCUGCUAAAUGUAAGCCCCGCCCUUCAGUAAAAAGAACCAAUCACUGAGCUGAUACAGUUUUUGAGCUACAAAAACAAUUUAUGAUACCUCUGAUCCAAAAAACAAAAAAACAAAACACUACCGUUCAAAAGUAUGGGAUUGGUAAGAUUUUUUAAAAUGUUUUUGGAAAGAAAGUCACUUAUGCUUACCAAUGCUAUGUAUAUUUUAAAAUGUUGUGGGGUGGUUUCCCAGACAGAGAUUAAGCCUAGUCCUAGAAUAAAAUGGCCCUUUACACAAGAUUAACAGAAAUCAGCUUUCUCUGUCAUGGUUUAAAACAAUCCUAGACUAAGUCUAGUUCAGAGUUUAAUAAACUGAUAAUAAAUAAUAAACUGAAGACUAGAGCUACUCCAGGACUAAAUUGAGCUUUAAAUUAAACCUACCAGGAGGCAGGUUUAACUUCA
This is a long non-coding RNA of Megalobrama amblycephala (Wuchang bream), 3158 nucleotides long. RefSeq lists it as uncharacterized. The transcript has 3 exons. The record is from RefSeq and is a predicted model, not a curated record. Lineage: Eukaryota; Metazoa; Chordata; Actinopteri; Cypriniformes; Xenocyprididae.